Molecule: ribosomal RNA, 510 nt
Filed under: uncultured bacterium
Lineage: Bacteria
Description: partial 16S ribosomal RNA
Rfam family: Bacterial small subunit ribosomal RNA
Source: RNAcentral
UAGGGAAUCUUCCACAAUGGACGCAAGUCUGAUGGAGCAACGCCGCGUGAGUGAAGAAGGUUUUCGGAUCGUAAAGCUCUGUUGUUGGUGAAGAAGGAUAGAGGCAGUAACUGGUCUUUAUUUGACGGUAAUCAACCAGAAAGUCACGGCUAGCUACGUGCCAGCAGCCGCGGUAAUACGUAGGUGGCAAGCGUUGUCCGGAUUUAUUGGGCGUAAAGCGAGCGCAGGCGGAAUGAUAAGUCUGAUGUGAAAGCCCACGGCUCAACCGUGGAACUGCAUCGGAAACUGUCAUUCUUGAGUGCAGAAGAGGAGAGUGGAACUCCAUGUGUAGCGGUGGAAUGCGUAGAUAUAUGGAAGAACACCAGUGGCGAAGGCGGCUCUCUGGUCUGCAACUGACGCUGAGGCUCGAAAGCAUGGGUAGCGAACAGGAUUAGAUACCCUGGUAGUCCAUGCCGUAAACGAUGAGCGCUAGGUGUUGGGGGACUUUCCGGUCCUCAGUGCCGCAGCAAA